RNAcentral lists this ribosomal RNA (484 nucleotides) under uncultured bacterium. RNAcentral's name for it is "partial 16S ribosomal RNA". It matches the Rfam family "Bacterial small subunit ribosomal RNA", at positions 28 to 523 of the family's 1533-position model. The record is from RNAcentral.
GAUGAACGCUGGCGGCGUGCCUAACACAUGCAAGUCGAACGGACUUACAUUGAAGCCUAGCGAUAUGUAAGUUAGUGGCGGACGGGUGAGUAACGCGUGGGUAACCUGCCUUGUACUGGGGGACAACAGUUGGAAACGACUGCUAAUACCGCAUAAGCGCACAGCUUCGCAUGAAGCAGUGUGAAAAACUCCGGUGGUACAAGAUGGACCCGCGUCUGAUUAGCUAGUUGGUGAGGUAACGGCCCACCAAGGCGACGAUCAGUAGCCGGCCUGAGAGGGUGAACGGCCACAUUGGGACUGAGACACGGCCCAGACUCCUACGGGAGGCAGCAGUGGGGAAUAUUGCACAAUGGGGGAAACCCUGAUGCAGCAACGCCGCGUGAGUGAAGAAGUAUGUCGGUAUGUAAAGCUCUAUCAGCAGGAAAGAAAAUGACGGUACCUGACUAAGAAGCCCCGGCUAACUACGUGCCAGCCGCCGCGGUAA